This 1035-nucleotide ribosomal RNA is filed under the name uncultured bacterium. RNAcentral's name for it is "bacterial SSU rRNA". It matches the Rfam family "Bacterial small subunit ribosomal RNA", at positions 346 to 1399 of the family's 1533-position model. The record is from RNAcentral.
AGGCAGCAGUGGGGAAUAUUGGGCAAUGGGCGCAAGCCUGACCCAGCAACGCCGCGUGAGGGAAGAAGGUUUUCGGAUUGUAAACCUCUGUCCUAAGGGACGAAGGAAGUGACGGUACCUUAGGAGGAAGCCCCGGCUAACUACGUGCCAGCAGCCGCGGUAAUACGUAGGGGGCGAGCGUUGUCCGGAAUGACCGGGCGUAAAGGGCGUGUAGGCGGCAGUAUAAGUCCGGAGUGAAAGUCCUGCUUUCAAGGUGGGAAUUGCUUUGGAGACUGUACAGCUUGAGUGCGGAAGAGGUAAGUGGAAUUCCCAGCGUAGCGGUGAAAUGCGUAGAGAUUGGGAGGAACACCAGUGGCGAAGGCGACUUACUGGGCCGUAACUGACGCUGAGGCGCGAAAGCGUGGGGAGCGAACAGGAUUAGAUACCCUGGUAGUCCACGCUGUAAACGAUGAAUACUAGGUGUGGGAGGACUGACCCCUUCCGUGCCGCAGUUAACACAAUAAGUAUUCCACCUGGGGAGUACGACCGCAAGGUUGAAACUCAAAGGAAUUGACGGGGGCCCGCACAAGCAGUGGAUUAUGUGGUUUAAUUCGACGCAACGCGAAGAACCUUACCAGGAUUUGACAUCCAACUAACGAAGUAGAGAUACAUUAGGUACCCUUCGGGGGAAGUUGAGACAGGUGGUGCAUGGUUGUCGUCAGCUCGUGUCGUGAGAUGUUGGGUUAAGUCCCGCAACGAGCGCAACCCCUAUUGUUAGUUGCUACGAAAGAGCACUCUAGCGAGACUGCCGUUGACAAAACGGAGGAAGGCGGGGACGACGUCAAAUCAUCAUGCCCCUUAUGUCCUGGGCUACACACGUAAUACAAUGGCGGUCAACAGAGGGAAGCAAAGCCGCGAGGUGGAGCAAAUCCCUAAAAGCCGUCUCAGUUCGGAUUGCAGGCUGCAACUCGCCUGCAUGAAGCUGGAAUUGCUAGUAAUCGCGGAUCAGCAUGCCGCGGUGAAUACGUUCCCGGGCCUUGCACACACCGCCCGUCA